CUGCUGGGUUGUGGCAGCCUCUGUGACUAGCUACCACUGUCACCCUACACUAAUUAGGGUUCCUGCUUGAAGCAAGGGUCUGGGAGAGCUUCCCAGAGAACAACUGGGCGCCAGGGAGCCUUUUGAACACAGUUACCGGUGAUGUCAGAGAAACAAGCUUGUGCUCUUUUUCGGUUUUGCUCUUUGUUUUUGAGGCAAGAUACCUACCCCUGACUGGCCUCCCUGAAUUUCACGGUCCCCCUGUGCCCCCACCACCUCCCUCUCUGCUGCUAGAAGCACAGAGAAGGACCUAAUGAGGGAGGAGAGGGGACUCCACCCAUUUGGUAAAGGGUUGAAAUUGAUGCGAUUCACUGGGGGGAAAUAUAAACACAGAGCACACCAGACCCUUUUAACAGGAGGCCUGGGGGUGGGGGGAGGGCAGGCAGACUAGAGGUGUCACCCAGGGCCAAGCCAGAAUACGUGCGGGCUCCCCGAGACAUGUUUGUUGGAGAAGUUUUGGAAGAUCAUUCAAAGGAGGCCGCGCUGUGCCCGCAGCAGCCGAUUCAAGAACUGGCUUGCACAGACAGGCAAAGCCCAGGCAGGCGCCCUGGCCUGGGGCCUGGGGCGGCCCGGCCGUGCAGGAGGCCGGGCUCGGGUGAGCCGCACUGCCACCAGCCGCCGGCAGGUGUCGCUUUCCGGGCCCCGGAAUCCACCGUGAGUUCAGCAAAUGGAGGCGCGAGGAGGAGGCUGGGACGCGGGCAGAGAAGCGGAUUUCCUGGCCCGGGAACAUCCUGGCUCUUGUUUCGGGAGGCAGCCACAUGAUUUCUGAUGCCCAGUGCUUGAACACUCAAGUUUGGGGGGGAAAAAAAAAACAAACCCAGCUCUCGAGCCAAGCAAGGACUUUGUCUCUAGUUAUAAGGAUCUCUCAGCUUCCUGCUGCGGUCACCUGCCAAGCUUCCCCCACCAUCGUGGAUUCUCCUUCUGGAACCAUGAGCCCAAAUAAGCUCUUUGUUUCCUAAGUUGCUUUUGGUCGUGGUGUUUUGUCACAGCACAAAU
This is a non-coding RNA of Peromyscus maniculatus bairdii (prairie deer mouse), 1035 nucleotides long. Lineage: Eukaryota; Metazoa; Chordata; Mammalia; Rodentia; Cricetidae. The record is from RefSeq and is a predicted model, not a curated record.